AGCGAACGCUGGCGGCAUGCCUAACACAUGCAAGUCGAACGAACCUUUCGGGGUUAGUGGCGGACGGGUGAGUAACACGUGGGAACGUGCCUUUAGGUUCGGAAUAACUCAGGGAAACUUGUGCUAAUACCGAAUGUGCCCUUCGGGGGAAAGAUUUAUCGCCUUUAGAGCGGCCCGCGUCUGAUUAGCUAGUUGGUUGAGGUAAUGGCUCACCAAGGCGACGAUCAGUAGCUGGUCUGAGAGGAUGAUCAGCCACAUUGGGACUGAGACACGGCCCAAACUCCUACGGGAGGCAGCAGUGGGGAAUCUUGCGCAAUGGGCGAAAGCCUGACGCAGCCAUGCCGCGUGAAUGAUGAAGGUCUUAGGAUUGUAAAAUUCUUUCACCGGGGACGAUAAUGACGGUACCCGGAGAAGAAGCCCCGGCUAACUUCGUG
This 434-nucleotide ribosomal RNA is filed under the name uncultured bacterium. RNAcentral's name for it is "partial 16S ribosomal RNA". It matches the Rfam family "Bacterial small subunit ribosomal RNA", at positions 29 to 507 of the family's 1533-position model. The record is from RNAcentral.